RNAcentral lists this ribosomal RNA (634 nucleotides) under uncultured Marinobacter sp. RNAcentral's name for it is "bacterial SSU rRNA". It matches the Rfam family "Bacterial small subunit ribosomal RNA", at positions 870 to 1504 of the family's 1533-position model. Lineage: Bacteria; Pseudomonadati; Pseudomonadota; Gammaproteobacteria; Pseudomonadales; Marinobacteraceae. The record is from RNAcentral.
CGCCUGGGGAGUACGGCCGCAAGGUUAAAACUCAAAUGAAUUGACGGGGGCCCGCACAAGCGGUGGAGCAUGUGGUUUAAUUCGACGCAACGCGAAGAACCUUACCUGGCCUUGACAUGCAGAGAACUUUCCAGAGAUGGAUUGGUGCCUUCGGGAACUCUGACACAGGUGCUGCAUGGCCGUCGUCAGCUCGUGUCGUGAGAUGUUGGGUUAAGUCCCGUAACGAGCGCAACCCCUAUCCCUAGUUGCUAGCAGUUCGGCUGAGAACUCUAGGGAGACUACCGGUGACAAACCGGAGGAAGGUGGGGAUGACGUCAGGUCAUCAUGGCCCUUACGGCCAGGGCUACACACGUGCUACAAUGGUGCGCACAGAGGGCUGCAAACCCGCGAGGGGGAGCCAAUCUCACAAAACGCAUCGUAGUCCGGAUCGCAGUCUGCAACUCGACUGCGUGAAGUCGGAAUCGCUAGUAAUUGUGAAUCAGAAUGUCACGGUGAAUACGUUCCCGGGCCUUGUACACACCGCCCGUCACACCAUGGGAGUGGAUUGCACCAGAAGUGGUUAGUCUAACCUUCGGGAGGACGAUCACCACGGUGUGGUUCAUGACUGGGGUGAAGUCGUAACAAGGUAACCGUA